AUUGAACGCUGGCGGCAGGCCUAACACAUGCAAGUCGAAUGGUAACAGGAAACAGCUUGCUGUUUCGCUGACGAGUGGCGGACGGGUGAGUAAUGUCUGGGAAACUGCCUGAUGGAGGGGGAUAACUACUGGAAACGGUAGCUAAUACCGCAUAACGUCGCAAGACCAAAGAGGGGGACCUUCGGGCCUCUUGCCAUCAGAUGUGCCCAGAUGGGAUUAGCUAGUAGGUGGGGUAACGGCUCACCUAGGCGACGAUCCCUAGCUGGUCUGAGAGGAUGACCAGCCACACUGGAACUGAGACACGGUCCAGACUCCUACGGGAGGCAGCAGUGGGGAAUAUUGCACAAUGGGCGCAAGCCUGAUGCAGCCAUGCCGCGUGUAUGAAGAAGGCCUUCGGGUUGUAAAGUACUUUCAGCGGGGAGGAAGGGAGUAAAGUUAAUACCUUCGCUCAUUGACGUUACCCGCAGAAGAAGCACCGGCUAACUCCGUG
Molecule: ribosomal RNA, 490 nt
Filed under: uncultured bacterium
Lineage: Bacteria
Description: partial 16S ribosomal RNA
Rfam family: Bacterial small subunit ribosomal RNA
Source: RNAcentral